Molecule: ribosomal RNA, 492 nt
Filed under: uncultured bacterium
Lineage: Bacteria
Description: partial 16S ribosomal RNA
Rfam family: Bacterial small subunit ribosomal RNA
Source: RNAcentral
AGUGAACGCUGGCGGUAGGCCUAACACAUGCAAGUCGAACGGCAGCACAGUAAGAGCUUGCUCUUACGGGUGGCGAGUGGCGGACGGGUGAGGAAUACAUCGGAAUCUACUUUUUCGUGGGGGAUAACGUAGGGAAACUUACGCUAAUACCGCAUACGACCUACGGGUGAAUGCAGGGGAUCUUCGGACCUUGCGCGAUUGAAUGAGCCGAUGUCGGAUUAGCUAGUUGGCGGGGUAAAGGCCCACCAAGGCGACGAUCCGUAGCUGGUCUGAGAGGAUGAUCGGCCACACUGGAACUGAGACACGGUCCAGACUACUACGGGAGGCAGCAGUGGGGAAUAUUAGACAAUGGGCGCAAGCCUGAUCCAGCCAUACCGCGUGGGUGAAGAAGGCCUUCGGGUUGUAAAGCCCUUUUGUUGGGAAAGAAAAGCAGCAGGUUAAUACCCCGCUGUUCUGACGGUACCCAAAGAAUAAGCACCGGCUAACUUCGUG